Molecule: ribosomal RNA, 213 nt
Filed under: Triticum aestivum (bread wheat)
Lineage: Eukaryota; Viridiplantae; Streptophyta; Magnoliopsida; Poales; Poaceae
Description: partial small subunit ribosomal RNA
Source: RNAcentral
AUGGUCGACACUUUUCUCUCUGUCAUCUUCAAGAUCCUCGUCAUCGCGCUGGCCUGUUCUUCCCUCCUCACCCCAGGAGAGGGGAAGUAUGUGUGCCAGGGCAAAUGCGAGGACAUACCGGACUGCGACAAGUGGUGCAAGUCGCCCGGGGGUCACCCCAAAGGAGGGCAGUGCGUGCCGCCGCUCUACCAGUUCUGCUGCUGCAUUGAGUAA